This 253-nucleotide ribosomal RNA is filed under the name uncultured bacterium. RNAcentral describes it as "partial 16S ribosomal RNA". It matches the Rfam family "Bacterial small subunit ribosomal RNA", at positions 524 to 776 of the family's 1533-position model. The record is from RNAcentral.
UACGUAGGGUGCAAGCGUUAAUCGGAAUUACUGGGCGUAAAGCGUGCGCAGGCGGUUUUUUAAGACAGGUGUGAAAUCCCAGGGCUUAACCUUGGAACUGCAUUUGUGACUGCAUAGCUAGAGUACGGUAGAGGGGGAUGGAAUUCCGCGUGUAGCAGUGAAAUGCGUAGAUAUGCGGAGGAACACCGAUGGCGAAGGCAAUCCCCUGGACCUGUACUGACGCUCAUGCACGAAAGCGUGGGGAGCAAACAGG